Molecule: RNA transcript, 3389 nt
Organism: Cryptomeria japonica (Japanese cedar)
Lineage: Eukaryota; Viridiplantae; Streptophyta; Pinopsida; Cupressales; Cupressaceae
Gene name: protein NUCLEOLAR FACTOR 1
Exons: 24
Source: RefSeq, a predicted model, not a curated record
AAAUAAAAUAAAAAAACCUUCCCAAAUUUAGGGUUACCCCAUAAUGGAAGCGAAGCAAUUCGAUUUGAAGUUUCAAAACUAAUACUUCCAACCGCUAGUUUUUUUCGACAAUUAACCAGCAUCUGCCAGUGUUGCAGUAAGGGCAAAAUCUACAACCAUUCCUCGAGAAUAAAAAAGCAGGAAAGAAACAAGAAUAUUAAGAUUGGUCAUUAAGUUAAUCUCAAAAGACCAUCACUGCAAAAGCUAUUUCAACAAUCCAAGAUUAAAGGGACACGCAGGGAUUGCAUGAACAUGGGUAAAUUUCAGAAAAUUGAGAAGCAGCACUCAAAACAAAUUAUGGAGUCAAAGCACAAGCUUAAGGCCAAGAAUAAUGCUUUCAAACAAAAACAAUCUGAUAUAAGGACAUCUUUAGUUGAGACUCCGGAUGAUGUAGUUGAAGAGAGUGAAUCAGAUCCUGAAAAUGUCCAGACAGACUCUUCUAUAUAUGAUACAUUAUUAUCAUCUCUGAAAUCAAGUUGUGGAUCUUUUGCCCAUGUCUAUAAUAAGAGGCAGAGAGAACAAGAAGGCGUUAGCAGUGAGGAGGAAGAAGAAAGCGAGCCAGAGGUUGGAAGUGAUGAUAUGAGUGAUGCUGAAGUAACAGAUGUUGAAAUGGAAACAAAAGAAGCUAGUGAGAUGGAGAUUGCAGAAGAAGAAGAGGCUGAAGACGUUAAUAAUGCAAACGAUGAAUCUGGAAGUGGUGAAGAAUGUGAUACAGAAGUUGAUGAAGAGGAAAAAGUAAAUAAUGAUGCUUCUAUGAAUAUUAGUUCUUUUAAAUCGCAUAUGGAGUACAUUUUGAGAGAAGCAGAUGUACAAAAGCUGAAGGAAGGGAAAAGAAAGUUCAUUUCAGAGCUAGCUGCUUAUGGAAUGCCAAUGUGCAAGUGGAAAACUACUAAUGAUGCCUUUCCAAAGGAUGAUGACAAACUUGCAAGUUAUAGCGUGAAGUUGAGUCUACAAUCACAGUGGCAAACUAUUUAUAAAAGGGCAGAGUGCUGCAAUUUCACUUCUGCUAUGCAAAGCCAAUUUUUUUCUCUUUGUAACAGUUAUCAAGAUAUAUUGCAUUCAAACAAAAAUGCAUUUGUGGCUGGAGGCCAAGAUGAUGAUUUGAGUGUAACAGAUGCUUAUCUUUUGCAUCUUCUUAAUCAUGUUUAUAAAACAAGAGACCUUGUUACAAAAAAUAAUGCUAGAUUGACUCAACAGUCAAAUAAUGGAGAUAAAUUGAUAAAUGCUGCCGAGCCUCCCCGAGAUCAGGGAUUUACUCGUCCAAAGGUUCUAAUUCUUGUGCCACUUCGAAGCAUUGCUCUUAGGACUGUAAAGAGGUUAAUUGAGUUGAUACCAAACUCAUGCAAAGAAUCUAUUGAAUAUAAAGAUAGGUUUAUUGAUGAAUUUGGUGCUGGAGAGGAUGAUGAAAAUGGAGAUCUAGAGGAUAUAGCAAUAUCUGAAGGCCAAAAGCAAGGGAAAAAUAAAACUUCUUCAAAACCUGCUGAUUUUCAAGCUCUUUUUGGAGGGAAUAAUGAUGAUCAUUUUCGGUUUGGGAUUAAAUUCACUAAGAAAACUGUCAAGGUUUACAGUGAUUUCUAUUCUUCAGACAUCAUUGUUGCUUCUCCAAUUGGGUUGAUUACUAGAAUUGGAGAAGCGGAGACUGAGAAGAAUAAAGAUGUGGAUUUCUUAUCAUCAAUAGAGAUUUUAGUCAUUGACAAUGCUGAUGUCAUUUUGAUGCAGAAUUGGUCUCAUAUUGUUUCUGUUGUUGACCAAUUAAAUCGAUUACCAACCAAGCAGCAUGGCACUGAUUUCAUGCGCAUCCGAGAAUGGUAUUUGAAUGGACAAGCACGUUAUUAUCGACAGACAAUUAUCCUAUCAAAUUUUGUAAAUGCAGAUAUAAAUGCAUUGUUCAAUCGUUUUUGCGUUAACUAUGAGGGAAAGGUUAAAUUAUUGUCUGUUUACAAUGGUGUUCUCCCAAAGGUGUUGCUUCAAGUACGCCAGGUUUAUGAGCGUUUUGAUUGCAGUUCAGUCUUAGAUGUUGAUGAUAAGCGAUUUGAAUUUUUUACUAAAAAGAUAUUCCCAAAAAUAAAGGAUUCACUGCAGGGUGGUAUCAUGUUAUUUAUAAGCUCAUACUUUGACUUUGUCCGUCUUCGAAACUUCUUAAAAGAGCAAAAUGCUUCUUUUUGCUUGCUUGGCGAGAUAUUUCUCUGAUGUAUAUACCAGUCUAGGAGUGAUCACGUUUUCUCAUCCAUAAUGCUGUUGUUGGUUCAGCCAUAAGGAGUGUGUCUAUCAAUGAAAUUUUCUCCUAGCAGUAUAUCUACUGGCAUUUGAUUCAUAGCUAAGAAAUCACAAGAGUUUUACAAAAGGAUAAAGAAGCACUAGCAUCUAUCUGCACAUCAUAGUUUCUACCAUUGAUUUCUACUGAAGUAAACAGAAAAAAAUUUCCAUUGAGCAAGGAUACUUAAUAUUCUGGCUUUAGCUGAGAUUUUGAGAUUUGAAAUGCAGAUGAUACCAAUCUUACCCUAGUAGGAUCUGCUACUUCAUCAAUAAUUUGUUUGCCUUUUUCAUUCAGAAUGAUCAUGAUGAGAGGCCAUUAGCAUGAUGACAUUUGUUGUUUGCAAUAUUCUAAGUUACUUAAAAAGGUUAUGCACAGUGUCCGGUUCAUGUUAGGUUUGACACAUCAUUCAAACAUAAAGUGUCUUGCAUGGGUAACUUGAAAAUCAUUGCCUUUGGAUUGUAAAGAGUCAUUUAUAAAUUCGUAGUAUUUGCUAAUAGGAAAGGAUGUGUUAUGAGAACUUUAUUGAAUGUCCAUUGUAUUUGCUUUCUGCUUACUUAUACUUUUCAUAUUUCUAGGCAUAGUUUUUUCUCAGCAAAGUUUGCAUUAUAACUCAAUGUUUUUAUUCAAUGUCUAUUGUGUUUGCUUUCUGCUUGCUUGUGCUUUUCAUAUUUCUAUACAUAGAUUUUUCCUAUCAAAGUAUGCAUUUAUAACUCAAUGUUUUCGAUCAGAGAUCCUGUCCUGGCUUGUUGCAAGCAAAAAUGAAACAUUAAGUUAGAGUCAAUUUUGGGUUUCAUUUCAUUCUUGUAAUCUGUUUGUGAUUGGUACCAAGUCUUCUGACUAGUAUAUCUUUAACUCAUAACUUUUAAACAUUGGCUGCAUCGACAUGGAUCACAAGAUGAAGUCUGUUUUUUGGGAUUGUAAAACCCCUUUUAACACCAAAGUGAGCGCUUAAGUACAUCUUUAUCCUUAAGUGUGCUUAAGUAAGUUUGGGUGCAGUAAGUUUGGCUGUCUCAAUUCUUUGUUGCAUGCUUUUAUUGGCAAAGGUUUAAAGGAGCCUAAGUUCAUCUUUGGAAGACAUGGUCAUCCUUUGUCA